GCUUGUUCCACAAAUUUGGCUUAAUCUCCAGGAACAGGCUAUACCACAAGCCUUGAAAGAUUUCCUGCCCCAGACUCAGUCUGACUGCUCUUUAUCUGAUCAGCUGUCAUACCAAAAACAAAGUAUACAACUACAGAUGAGUUACAAGGACCCUUUCUGUCUCAGCAGGAUGUUAAGCUGAGUAAGAACUGAUGCCUCUCCCAUUGGGGUCUGUCUCUCUUAUCCAGCCAGAAGGAUCACUUUUAAGUUUCAUGAGGAUCAAAUUCACUCCUGGUGCUUUUACAUCCUCUCCCACCAAGCAUCAGUGUGGAUAUCUGCUGUGUUCCUGUCCAUGGGCUGCAUUUGGAUAAGCAACUCCACGCUGUCUACAUGGGCUGCAGGUUGAGCUCUGUUCUGGUGGUGCCUGAAGAAACUCUUUCCACACCUACACUGACACUGGCAUCUGCAGGCCUUUUUUGCUCAUGUUUUUUUUUCUGUCUCCAUCUCAUAACUGGCAUGCAGCACUUUUUGCCCUUUCUUAAAAACAUUAUCACAAAGCUACCAGUGUUGUUGAUGGGCUCAGCUUUGAAUGUCAGUGGAGCUGGCUGGGACUGGUUCUGUCUAUGGGGGUGGCUCCUGUUCUCUUGUCACACAGGGCACCCUGGCAGGUCCCCACAACCAUAAACUUGUCGCUUAAUCCAUUAAUAACUUCUACUGAGUAGUAUAAGGUUUUCCUUUAUCUGCUUUCUGCUGUGACACUUUCCCUGUGGAGCAGUAAAAGUGAACUGG
This is a non-coding RNA of Cyanistes caeruleus (blue tit), 768 nucleotides long. Lineage: Eukaryota; Metazoa; Chordata; Aves; Passeriformes; Paridae. The record is from RefSeq and is a predicted model, not a curated record.